GCCCAGGUAGCUCAGUGGUAGAGCACCCCCUUGGUAAGGGGGAGGUCGUGAGUUCAAGUCUCAUCCUGGGCUCCA
RNAcentral lists this transfer RNA (75 nucleotides) under Deltaproteobacteria bacterium. Its description in RNAcentral is "tRNA-Thr". It matches the Rfam family "tRNA". From Rfam's summary of the family: Transfer RNA (tRNA) molecules are approximately 80 nucleotides in length. Their secondary structure includes four short double-helical elements and three loops (D, anti-codon, and T loops). Further hydrogen bonds mediate the characteristic L-shaped molecular structure. tRNAs have two regions of fundamental functional importance: the anti-codon, which is responsible for specific mRNA codon recognition, and the 3' end, to which the tRNAs corresponding amino acid is attached (by aminoacyl-tRNA synthetases). tRNAs cope with the degeneracy of the genetic code in two manners: having more than one tRNA (with a specific anti-codon) for a particular amino acid; and 'wobble' base-pairing, i.e. permitting non-standard base-pairing at the 3rd anti-codon position. Lineage: Bacteria; Pseudomonadati; Myxococcota; Myxococcia. RNAcentral also lists the same sequence under 2 other names. The record is from RNAcentral.